Molecule: long non-coding RNA, 396 nt
Organism: Papilio polytes (common Mormon)
Lineage: Eukaryota; Metazoa; Arthropoda; Insecta; Lepidoptera; Papilionidae
Exons: 3
Source: RefSeq, a predicted model, not a curated record
GACAACCUAUACUGUAAUUAUCAUUAAAGUACACUGUAUUAUUGUUUAAUUUGAAAAUCCUCAACAGUAUUUAGGUAAAUAUGUCAUCUGACAAGCAUUGUUGCGUUCCUGGAUGCACAGAAAUGUGAGGUAUGCAUAAAGUACUACAUGGGUUUCCAAACCCAGAGAUGGAUAGGGCAAGAUUUACAUAGCUGUACGCAAUUGGUGGUGAUAUCAUGGCUCUGGAAAAUGGACACAUAUAAGUACAGAUGUGUAUGUCGGGCGCAUUUCUAACACAAAAGCUUAUGCCGCAACCACAAAAUUAGCAACAAUGCUGUACCAACAUUAAAUAUGCCAGGCAAAAAGGCAGCCUUACUGCCCGUAAGGAAAACUAUACAAUCAAAUUUCCUUACCAAG